CAGCAGUCGCCACGGUAAUACGGAGGGUGCAAGCGUUAAUCGGAAUUACUGGGCGUAAAGCGCACGCAGGCGGUCUGACAAGUCAGAUGUGAAAUCCCCGGGCUUAACCUGGGAACUGCAUUUGAAACUGUCAGGCUGGAGUCUUGUAGAGGGGGGUGGAAUUCCAGGUGUAGCGGUGAAAUGCGUAGAGAUCUGGAGGAAUACCGGUGGCGAAGGCGGCCCCCUGGACAAAGACUGACGCUCAGGUGCGAAAGCGUGGGGAGCAAACAGGAUUAGAUACCCCUGUAGUCCCUGUCUCUUAUAC
Molecule: ribosomal RNA, 304 nt
Filed under: uncultured bacterium
Lineage: Bacteria
Description: partial 16S ribosomal RNA
Rfam family: Bacterial small subunit ribosomal RNA
Source: RNAcentral